Molecule: ribosomal RNA, 252 nt
Filed under: uncultured bacterium
Lineage: Bacteria
Description: partial 16S ribosomal RNA
Rfam family: Bacterial small subunit ribosomal RNA
Source: RNAcentral
UACGGAGGGUGCAAGCGUUAUUCGGAUUUAUUGGGUUUAAAGGGUACGUAGGCUGUAAAAUAAGUCGAUGGUGAAAGCCAACAGCUUAACUGUUGAAUUGCCGUCGAUACUGUGUUACUUGAGUAGAGUCGAAGUAAGUGGAAUUCUACAUGUAGUGGUGAAAUACAUAGAUAUGUGGAGGAACACCGAUAACGAAAGUAGCUUACUAGGCUUUACUGACGCUGAGGUACGAAAGCAUGGGUAGCAAACGGG